RNAcentral lists this ribosomal RNA (305 nucleotides) under uncultured bacterium. RNAcentral's name for it is "bacterial SSU rRNA". It matches the Rfam family "Bacterial small subunit ribosomal RNA", at positions 337 to 640 of the family's 1533-position model. The record is from RNAcentral.
UCCUACGGGGGGCAGCAGUGAGGAAUAUUGGUCAAUGGCCGGAAGGCUGAACCAGCCAAGCCGCGUGAAGGACGAAGGUGCCAAGCAUUGUAAACUUCUUUUGUCAAGGGACAAAAUCAGGCUCGAGAGCCUGACCGAGGGUACUUGAAGAAAAAGCAUCGGCUAACUCCGUGCCAGCAGCCGCGGUAAUACGGAGGAUGCGAGCGUUAUCCGGAUUUAUUGGGUUUAAAGGGUGCGUAGGCGGACUGUUAAGUCAGCGGUAAAAGCCCGGGGCUCAACCCAGGCGAGCCGUUGAAACUGGCUGU